UGCUAAAUUGACCAAUGAAGAAUAAUACCUCCUAUCUUUUGUCCAGGGAAAAAAAUCGUUGAUACUUUCGGUGAUUUUCCUAUAGUUGAUUAUCAACCAUCAUUUUGCUCCACUACGGCAUGUCUUUCGCCGGAAGAAUCCCAUUGACACCUAACACCGAUUGCUCAAUCAUGAAAGUUUGCCCCUCAACACACUAACCGUGUGAAAAGCGCACACACUUGGGAAUUAUUCUUGUGUGCGCAAAUGCGCAAGGAAUAUAUAGAAAUCUUUGCUAGCUCCCCCAUGAUGAUCACAUUUUAAAUAGCACAUACGGCGUUACAAAUUUGACUCGUGCAAGCUAGGUCACAUUGCAGUUAACCCUCCCCUAAGUUCCAAGAAGAUAUGGUGUGAACUCGACCAUCUGUAAAAAGCCAAUAUUUUCCCUGUCAUUGGAUAUUGUAUCCUUUAUAAGCUAUGCCACUUUUGUGCCCUUUUUUUCCCCAUGAUGGAAAGCAAUCUAUUGAUGGUCCUUGCAGGUUUUCGACACCAUGUGUGCACUUUGAGUGAUAACAUGGAGAAGGAAUAACUGUGCGGCAAGCUGUAUCUUGGAUGCGUAUGAAAAGGAUCGACGGAUCGGAUCGAUCAAGUGGACCACUUUGGAUUGUGUGUUGGGGCUAUGAUGUUGCAGAAAACAGUUCCAGCUUGGACCAACGGUGCUCCACAUGUGUAGUGCACCCAUGUGGUCUCUCGGGUGACGUUUUUCGGUGGAGGAUGCUAAUCUUAAAAGGAAACAUCACUGUGAGUGAUCUGGCUGAAAAAUGAAGUGGCCCUGUUGUGU
Molecule: long non-coding RNA, 817 nt
Organism: Panicum virgatum (switchgrass)
Lineage: Eukaryota; Viridiplantae; Streptophyta; Magnoliopsida; Poales; Poaceae
Exons: 2
Source: RefSeq, a predicted model, not a curated record